This is a long non-coding RNA of Uranotaenia lowii, 467 nucleotides long. RefSeq lists it as uncharacterized. The transcript has 2 exons. NCBI's taxonomy places the organism in Eukaryota, Metazoa, Arthropoda, Insecta, Diptera, Culicidae. The record is from RefSeq and is a predicted model, not a curated record.
UGGUCGUUUUUGUCCGGUUGUUUAUUUCUUGCGCCGGAAAUUCGCAAGCUCGUCGCGUAUUUUUCUACGACUUUUCUUCACGGUAAUUUACCGGAUUCGGUUUCGGGACUCCCGGUGUUGUGAUGCCCACUGUCGGUCCGUUCCGAGCAGGGCUUAUUCAGCUGCGGCAGCAUGAUACAACACCGGGAAUUGGAUUUUCUGCCCAACAUAGAACCGCUGAAACUCGUGCGCUUUUCAGCACCUGAACUUCAUCUCCAACAGACAGCAGUUUUCGUACAGCAGCAACGGGGCCCUCGGAAUGAUAAGGUUUUUUUCAGGGUCCUGGUCCGCCGGCUAAAUCGUUCACCAGGCUUCCGGUGGCUUCCCUGCAUUCCGUAGCGCUGGAGCUACGGAAAAUUUUGCAGUACAGCUUAGCUUUUCAAAGUUGUGUAAGUACCCAAUAAAAUUUCAAUGAAGAUGAGUUUAAA